ACAGAUUGAGCUCGGAAUCACGCCGGAGAGCAAAUUGUGAGCAACGUCCAGUUGCUCGAUGCUCGUCAGCCCACCGAUCGCGUCCGGCAGCGGCCCCACCAGCUGGUUGAAGCUAACAUCGAAGACAGUCAGGUUCUUCAGCCGGCCAACAGAGGCCGGAAUACAAGAUCUGAGUCCAUUGUUGAGGAAAAUAAUUUCGUCCAGCCUCGGCAUGUUGCCAAUGCUCGUCGGAACGCAGCCAUGGAAGCGGUUGUUAGCCAAGACGAUGACAGAGACCGGCGAGCUGCCUAGGUUGGCCGGUAUAUCGAAAACGAAGCGGUUAUUGUUGACAAAGAUGGCGUCGAGAUCCUUGUCGAAGAGAUCCUUCGGUACCGUGCCUUCGAACUCGUUGAAUCGGAUGUCGAGGAACUUCAGCGUCGGGAGGUGGAGGACGACGGAGGGGAAAGGACCAGCGAAGCGGUUGUUGCUGAUGUCAAGCUCGAAGAGGAGGUGCAGGCGGCGGAAGCUCCGGGGGACGGUGCCGCAGAAGCGGUUGGAGUUGAUAUGGAAGAGAGCGAGAUCGGUGAGGAGGCCGAGCUCCUCCGGGAGGAAGCCGGCGAUGUCGCCGUGGUUGAGGUCGAUGCCGGCGACGACGAGGAGGGAUCGGUUCCCCGGGAGCGGCGCGCAGAACACGCCUGUGUAGGAGCAGACGUUGGGGCCGAUCCAGUUUGCGGUCAGGUUGAACGGAUCAGAAAUGAUCGCCUGCUUCCAGGACUGGAGAGCAAUGUAGGCGGCGCGGAGGCGAGGGUUGGGAAAGACGAAGCCGACGGGGACGGAGAUACUAUCACCGUCGUCGGCAACGGAGAGGAGCUGGCGGCGGCGGAGGAAGC
This 869-nucleotide unclassified non-coding RNA is filed under the name Hevea brasiliensis (rubber tree). Lineage: Eukaryota; Viridiplantae; Streptophyta; Magnoliopsida; Malpighiales; Euphorbiaceae. The record is from RNAcentral.